UAUUUUUAUAAAUAAACGUACUCUUUUUGUCAAAACCAUUUCUGGACUAACUGUUUAUUUUUUGUACUGAUGAAUAUCGAAUCCGAUCGUAAAACAUGUUCUAAUCUUUAAGAUUUUUCUAGACAUUUAAGCUAACACGCGACUGCGACGCGAUUUCCCCGAUCAGCAGCAUAUAAAUUAUAUUAUAUAUUACACUACAUACUUGUGCACAUAUUCAUAUAAUGCUUUUUGGACUGACUGAUAAUCGGCGAUAAGUUGGACGCGCGUGAGACCAUUGUGGGGACCUUCAAAUUUCAAUGGGACUGCUUGCUUAUCAGCUGUCCUCUCUCUCUCUCUCUCUCGCUCACUUGCUUGCUCACUCGAAGGCAGGCGCACCGCCCGUGAAACUAAUCUGAUUAUGUUCAUGACUUUUUCAAAUGGAACAAAAAAAAAAAGAAAUAACAGAAGAAGCGAGAAAAAAAAUACAUGCAUACUCAAAUUUUAAGCGUAUUUAUUUUUAAGAACGUGUGAUAAGAUAAUGAGCAAAAACCAAGCAGCAAUCAAGCAGUUCCUUGUCCUAUUGUUAUGCAAGCAGUUUACUGUCAACUGUCAACUUUCAUGCUCUCGCUCUCUCCUUCCACUCUCCUUCUCUUUGGUUUCUUGUGUCGCACUAUUGAUCAAGUCGACAUCUUAAUUAGCACCUUAGGUAUCAAUCUCAACGUUAAUAUUGCUGUUUGUGGUUUCGGUAGCAUCAAUAUCUAUAGCACCCCAACAAAACGCCGUUUGGUACUUUAUUGGUUUACCGCAAAAGCUCCGAUUGCAUUACUCCGCCACCUGCUAUAAAAGCUUCGCCCAUAACGAUAAUCUGCAAUUACCAUAUCGAUAUCGUGUUACGCAUGUUGAUGACUCUCGAUAGUCUGGCGUAACAAUUGUCACAUUGCUUAUUAUAAUAUUACAAUGUGUUGUUAUUAUUAUCAUUGAAAUCUGACGUCAGCAGCACGGCUGAAUUUGAUGAAAUAACCAAACAAAAAAGAUUAUCAUAUUUUUUUUGUGAUUGUGCAUCGUUGUAAUUGCGGGUGACGUAGCAAUCAGCUGUUUGACAGUCAUUCGAUCUUUUCUUCCCAAUCGAUAAUUGAUGCGCGUACGCGCAUAUUAUUAUUCCGCUUUAUCAAUGAAACCGCAUUUUUGGGGCCGGUCAAGUAAACCGGUUUGUAUGCGAAAUCAAUAUGUAUACAAAUGUAUGUAUAUGUAUGCACAAAAGGAGCAUAAAGCACACACACACUUACACACACGCAAAACAAUAACAAGCAGUCAAAACUGGCAUGCAAUUCUAUUUGCUCAAAAGGCCGUCGCUUGGCGGCGCCACAAGUUCACAUGGUUAAUUGAAUUUGCCUGACCCACUAGCCGCAAAACAAAAACCAUGUAAGGCCGCCAACGCUGACACUUAUCGACAUGCGGAUACCCUGUAUAUUCGUAUUGGUCAAAUGUAUUUUAAACCACAAUACAAGCGCUGUUGAUAAAAUAAACUUCAAUUAAAAAACCUUACAUGCCAGCUUUUGAAAGCAUGCAGGGUAGCACACAGCUACUGUCUGCUACAACAGCAACAAUAGCAAACAAAAACAACAAAUGCUGCCCGAACUGUCAAUCAAAAAGCAAAUUGCACUUUGCGCUUGAGCUUGGAUUCCGUUUUCAUUUCCAUUUCGUUCGCUUUUGUCUGGCAUACGAAAAAAAAAAAAAAAAACGCCACGCGUAGCAACAGCAACAAAAUAAAGAGUCUCGGAAUUUUCCCCGUCGAUUAAAGCGUGUCUCAUAAUGGGCCGACAGCGACUGUUCCGAUCUGAACAUAAAAAAAAAAUACCAAAUA
Drosophila innubila is the source of this 1843-nucleotide long non-coding RNA. RefSeq lists it as uncharacterized. The record is from RefSeq and is a predicted model, not a curated record. The transcript has 2 exons. Lineage: Eukaryota; Metazoa; Arthropoda; Insecta; Diptera; Drosophilidae.